AUCUUCGCUUCACCUAUCAAUUUUUCAGUUAUCGCCAUAGGUUUCUUGUUCACUGCUGAAUUCAGGCUUUAUUCUACCGGAUUUAUUCAACCUAUUACAUGCUUGCAAAUCCGGUAAAAUAGCUGUAAAUAUUUUAGUCUAUCUCGUUCCUGUAACUGCGCGUUCCAGAUUUUUGCCUCCCCUACCCAGCCAUAUUGUCCAGACUUCAUCUACAUGGCCAAAAAAAAGAGAAGAAGAAGAAAAAAAAUAGAGAGACCAUUCUGCUGGUAUUGUGAAAGAAAGUUCGUAGAUGAGCGCAUUUUAGUGAUGCACCAGAAGGCUCGACACUUCAAAUGUCCUCAUUGCCUAAAAAAACUAGGGAGUGUUUCUGGUUUGGUAGUACAUAUCUUCCAAAUGCAUAAGGAAAAGAUAACAAAAGUCCCAAAUUCUAAGCCAAAUCAUGAUUCAAUUCACUACGAUAUAUAUGGCAUGGACGGUGUGCCGUACGAAGAUAUUGUGGAAUAUCGUAACCGAAACAUGAACCAGAACAAAAAAAAACAAAUCAAUGCCGCCAGCAGCUCUUCUACUGGUGGUAAUGCAAAUACCAAGGCAAACUCCAGCCAGAAGUCUAGUAGUCAGAGUUAUCCUCAGGAAGUACCACAAAACUCUUGGCAAUCGUCAAAUAAUUUAGCUUCGCAAAAUUAUUGGUCUUCUCCCGAUAAGCUGAGCUAUGGGCAGAAUCCCCUGCUUUCCUCCCAAUUUGUAAAUUCCACUACUUCGAAAGGUGUCGUCCUCGUAUUCGACAACGCAGAAUUGUCCCAGGAAGAACUCAGAGCCAAACUCGAUCGUUAUGCCUACAAUACUGAGACGAACAUGCGUAGAAUGGAGCAGCUAGAUGAAAAGUUUGAAUCCAGAUUAGCCCAUCUAACUCAUUAGUAGUCCCUUUUAGAUUAAUGGAAAUUAGUACACAAUACCCUUAUGUAUCUGUAUAAAUAUCAGCACUUGAUCUAUUAUGUUUUCUUGUUUUCCGCUUGUUUCCUGUUCGGAGAAGUCCUCUCCGAUAAGCUCGCAUUUCAAUGGGGAGCACUGAAAUUUACGUCACCCAUAACCCUUCGGAGAGUGUCCAUGGCAGAGUUGAAUGCUACACUCUAUUACAAUUAUGAAGAUCAAAUACUACAGUACAUAAUCGAUACGAAUGAAGACACUACGACAACUGAGAUGUACAAUUAUCGACAGGAAAAUGUACCGCCAAUUUUGACUUUUUUGUCUCGUACAAUAUGUCUAACCGUUCUUGCAGCAACCAGUGGGUUACAAAAUUUGUCCGGACAGUUGUGUAGAAAUUAUGACGCAAGACGCCCAACAGAUGGACAUCUUUUUUCCAACUUCGAACUCGAGAAAGUUAAGUAGAGCCUGCGAUGCAGAAUUCAAGAAUCACAACUGCUCAGUUUGGCACACUCACCACUCUAAUUUCGUGUACGUGGUACAAGUGGUCAAAUAUCUACCCGCGAAGGCAUCGGUGUACACGAAUGGCGUAUGGGUCAGGAACAUCACCUUCCACGAUAUAAAAGACAUCGGGUACAGAGUAACCCCAGAGAACUAUCCAUUGUGUGGUGCGAUACCUGCCCAACGAUACAUGUUUGAUAUUUGCUUUUUGCUAGAUGGAAGUGGUAGCAUCCUCGAGGAAGAUUUUCAAAAAAUGGGCUACUACAUAGCCAAAUGGAUACGAGAGUCGUGCAAUUCGUGGAAAGGAAGAGGACAAAAUUAUUGUGUAUAUUCCUCAAAUAUUCGAAUCAGGUUUAAUAUUGUCCAGACGAGUAAUUUUGCUACGGAAAUCAACAAUUUCGACGAGCCUCUUGACAAUACUGUGUACAAUUUAGAGCAUUUGGAGAGGCCUGGAGGUCUCACAGAUAUUGGAGAUGGAUUGGCAAUGUGUCACAAAUUAUUCUCCAGGGGUAAAUCUAAAAUUCCUGACGGUUAUUUGCUGUACAACAAAGUUGUCCUUAUUUCAGAUGGGAAUUACACCAAACAUCGAGCGUUCCCUCUGAACCCCACAAAUCUGAUCGGCGAACUUCAGAGUCAAAAUGUGGAAAUCUUUGGCGUCAGCGUGUAUGAAGAUACGUCGUCGAUGUGGGAUCUUGUCUCCGAUCCUAAGAGUACACAUUUACUAGAUUGGAACAUGUAUGGUCUCACCCAAAGCGUACAGCUGGUUAGCGCAGAGUCGCGUCUUUGCAGACAAAGCAACUGCGAAUUCAGAUACUGUUCUUGUAACGGAUGCGUAUGUCCAAAUGUCGACGGAGUAUGUGGAGACUACACCGACCCUGAGUCUAUUGUCGUUGCCGGUGUGCCAGAUUCAAACGUCAACAUCAGUGCCAGUGGAACCACCACCAGUGGAACCACCACCAAUUCUCAAAAAGCAAUCAAAUCAUCCUCCUCCAGUAGUAGUAACAUCGUGUGGACCGCAGUAGCUGCGUCCUGUCUAGCUGCUUCGGCACUCGGCGUCAUCCUCUUUAUCCGCUUUAGACCCAAGAAAGUGAACACCAUUGAGAUGUCAACUGCAAAUAGUUCCUUCCAGGAAAAUCCCCUUUAUUCAGAGACGAAACGAUAUGACAAUCCGUUAUACGUUCCUUUAGACUCAGAUUAUUGAAAGUAUAUCGCAGAGCGCGUAACAUCAUACAGCAUACAUGCUUCUCAUCCAUGACAAUUACGGCCUUUCCUUCAUAGCAGAAGGUCGCGUUCCUAUCGAAACCCAUAAUUAAUUUCUAUCUAUUAUGGCGACAAAAGUAUAUAGGUACCAUUUAUUUUCAAAUUGUGUACAUUUUUAUGUCAGUUUUUUUCAGUUCUCCUUGGCAGCUUAUAAUGGGAGUUACCCUUUUCAAAUGUCUUAGUGCUGCUACCUCAGACUCCAAGUUGAAAGACGACAUAGAAAAAAUUAAUAGAUUAAGUAUGUGCGCUCCCGGCUCCGAAUUUUUCUUUGAAUACAUUUUGAACACAGAUGACGACCGCAUACGCGUAUACCGCCGAUGCAAGUCGUCAGAGCUCGCUUUGUGGUCGGAAAUAGGGGUUGAAGACUUUUACGUUGUUUAUAAUACGUUGUGUUUUUAUCAAAAUGGUUACAGAGACUUGUUUGACGACUAUUCUGGUCACGACACUCUGAGCACACUGGGCCGAGAAAGUGAAUUGCCGUACAGGGAGGAAUGCGUGAUCUGUAUGGACAAGAAUUCCAACGCCGUGCUUUCAAAAUGCAAUCAUUCGUUCUGUAUGGAGUGUUUAGAUAAAUGGAUAAAAACCAACAAGACCGCGUGCCCGCUUUGUUUCACGAAAAUGGACCCGAAAGAAAGUGACCAGAUGUGGAUACUGAUAGAUGACAGUGCCGGCCAUUCUCGUGAUCCAAACGGAUUAAUUGAAGAACAGCUAUCAAAGAUUGAGAUACAAAGUUUAAAAUGUGCAUAAAAUUUUAUGGAAUAAUUCUAAAUAAUGAUAAAGUCUCAACUUAACACAAUAUUUGUGAAAGAGAGUUUCAUUGUGGCUAUUUCUUCUUCGAAAAAUCUGAACCAGUUCCGCAACUGUUGGCGGACUACAUUAUAUUAUUGCACAGAGGGCGACGCGACAACAGACAACAGCUAAUUAUUCUAACAAUAAAGUUUUUCAUCUAAAAAUUCA
Schistocerca gregaria is the source of this 3639-nucleotide RNA transcript. RefSeq lists it as uncharacterized. The record is from RefSeq and is a predicted model, not a curated record. The transcript is spliced from 7 exons. Lineage: Eukaryota; Metazoa; Arthropoda; Insecta; Orthoptera; Acrididae.